Non-coding RNA from Podarcis lilfordi (Lilford's wall lizard), 73 nucleotides. Lineage: Eukaryota; Metazoa; Chordata; Lepidosauria; Squamata; Lacertidae. The record is from the annotation of a GenBank genome assembly.
GCUGGGAUAGCUCAAGGGGUAGAGCAUGAGACUCUUAAUCUCUUCGUCUUGGGAUUGAGCCCCACCUUGGGCA